CUGGAGUACUCGAGUGGCGAACGGGUGAGUAACACGUGGGUAAUCUGCCCUGCACUCCGGGAUAAGCCUGGGAAACUGGGUCUAAUACUGGAUAUGACCUUUCUCCUUAUGGGGUUUGGUGGAAAGUUUUUCGGUGUAGGAUGAGCCCGCGGCCUAUCAGCUUGUUGGUGGGGUGAUGGCCUACCAAGGCGACGACGGGUAGCCGGCCUGAGAGGGUGAUCGGCCACAUUGGGACUGAGAUACGGCCCAG
This 250-nucleotide ribosomal RNA is filed under the name uncultured Actinomycetales bacterium. RNAcentral's name for it is "partial 16S ribosomal RNA". It matches the Rfam family "Bacterial small subunit ribosomal RNA", at positions 82 to 334 of the family's 1533-position model. The record is from RNAcentral. Lineage: Bacteria; Bacillati; Actinomycetota; Actinomycetes; Actinomycetales.